GAUGAACGCUGGCGGCGUGCUUAACACAUGCAAGUCGAACGGUGAAGCCAAGCUUGCUUGGUGGAUCAGUGGCGAACGGGUGAGUAACACGUGAGCAACCUGCCCUGGACUCUGGGAUAAGCGCUGGAAACGGUGUCUAAUACUGGAUAUGAGCGCCUUCCGCAUGGUGGGGGUUGGAAAGAGUUUUCGGUUCGGGAGUGGCCUGCGGCUUAUCAGCUAGUUGGUGAGGUAAUGGCUGACCAAGGCUAUGACGAGUAGCUGGUCUGAGAGGACGAACAGUCACAAUGGGACUGAGACAUCGCCCAUACUCCUACGGGAGGCAUCAGGAAAGAAUCUUUCGCAAUGGAGGAAACUCUGACGAAGCGAUACUGCGGGAGCGAUGAAGGUCGUAAGAUUGUAAAGCUCUUUUCUGAAGGAAUAAUUCUGAAGGUACUUUAGGAAUAAGCCCCGGCUAACUUCGUGCCAGCCGCCGCCGUAA
RNAcentral lists this ribosomal RNA (478 nucleotides) under uncultured bacterium. Its description in RNAcentral is "partial 16S ribosomal RNA". It matches the Rfam family "Bacterial small subunit ribosomal RNA", at positions 28 to 523 of the family's 1533-position model. The record is from RNAcentral.